UUCUGCUGAUCUUGUCUACAGCUCAGAGCAGGGUUAAGGCUCAUUAGCACUUGGAUAGGAGACUGCCUGGGAAUACAAGCUUCUGUAGAAU
This 91-nucleotide ribosomal RNA is filed under the name Salvator merianae (Argentine black and white tegu). Lineage: Eukaryota; Metazoa; Chordata; Lepidosauria; Squamata; Teiidae. The record is from RNAcentral.